This is a non-coding RNA of Linepithema humile (Argentine ant), 3236 nucleotides long. The record is from RefSeq and is a predicted model, not a curated record. NCBI's taxonomy places the organism in Eukaryota, Metazoa, Arthropoda, Insecta, Hymenoptera, Formicidae.
UGUUUUACGAAGUGUCGAUUCUAAUCGCGUUUUUUAUCCGCAAUAAUUACAUAAUAAGAACGCAUAAUUAUUACAAAUUUUUGCCAGGAGUGCCGAUUAAAGUAACGGGCGAUGGUUGGAAUGUAUUAUUUACCGCGGAAAUUUGCGAUCAACGAUGUUUCCUCGAUCGUUUAGCGGUCGAUGGAUUGAAAGAGGUUAUGAUUGCAAGAUGUAGCGUCUAUUCAAGAAUUCAUUUUGGGUAAAUGUAAUUUACAAGUCACGGGCGACCAGAGAGAUGCAUUGUCGUACAAAAUUGCAAAAAUUUUUGACAAUUUGAAGCAUAAACAUUUGUGCCAAUUCGGGAUAAGUGAAUCGUCAUACUUCGCUUUAGAUUGUCGGCUCGAGUCACACGCGAGUGUGUCGGGAGUGUCGUUUAAAGCGCGAUUUCCGUACUCGGGUGAUACGCGCGUGUGAAUUGUGUCGUCGCGUGUGAGUGCUAGAAGACAGGAUUACUGACUAUGAGAGAAAAAGGAGGAGACUCAGAGUGACGUCAGAGCAACAUUGCGGUGAAUUUAUCGCAAAAAGUGCGAACUUUUUUUGGAAAUGGUGAAGGGACUUAAUAUUAAUGCGGAGUUGGAUUAAUGAAGGAAGGCAACAAUGCAGAUGAGGACGUUGCAGUAACUGAGACGGAGAAUGAGGAAAUUGAAACACCAAAUCUUUCCGAGAUAAAAAAGCUAUUGGUUCUUUGAGAAACAACAAAGCGUUACGAGAGGCCAUGAUCUCAGGAGAGCUGCUAAAAUACGGGGGUGCCGAGCUGCACCGGAAACUACAUAAACUCAUCGCUGAAGUUUGGAAGAAAGAGAAGAUGCCUGCAAAAUGGAACACGGCCGUCAUCUGCCCGAUCCAGGUCGACCACGGAUCAAAUCUUCUCCAUUAGGCAAAUACUAGAGAAAUGCUACAAAUUUAACGUCGAUUUGCAUCAAUUGUUCAUAGACUUUAAACAAACUUUUAAACUUGGUGACAGAAAUCAAGAGACGACGACUUCAUUGGCAUGUGCAUCGAAUGGAUGAUGCCAAAAAUACCAAGAUCUUCAUUUUCGGAUUGGAAGGACACAGAAAACAAGGCAGAUCGAAGAGACGAUGGCUGAAUAAUGUGACCUGAUCCGGAUCGGAGUAGGGGAGUGGCGACGCAAAGCCGAGGAAGAAAUUAUUGUAACAUAAAAAUCGCUAUUUUAAACAGUAAAAAUGUAAAGUGUACUUGUGGCUCAUCUGAGUAGAUAGUUUGACAGAUUAAAAUUAGAUAUACUAAAGUUGACUUUUAAUCGUAUCAACUGUAUAAAAAAUCAUUCUUUUUAUCCAAUUAAAAAAAUUAUUUGGGUUUGAUAAAUUUAUAAGAUUCAUAAUAAAAAUUUUUAACCUGUCAAACAAUUUCAGGAUAAGCCACAAUUUUUCAACUACCUUUUGUCUAGCUUUAAUGGACGGCAGCUCUGGUGAUAGAUACAUGCGACACGCGUUCUGACAUGCAUGGCAGCGACUGUCGCGCGUAAUCGGCUUAUCCUGCAUACACGCACACGCGCGUAUUCUAUUCUAAAAUCUAAUAUAAUUGGACAUUCUAUUUUAUGAUUGUUAUACAAUGUGACAUUGUAAGUUUUUUAAUUAUUUCGCAAGCGACGAUUUUCUAGCUCCGAUUUCCGAACAUUUGUAAUGCGAAUCAAUCAAAUCUGCUUCGAAUUAUAUAUUUUCUCGAUCGGUAUCGGGCAGGUGCAAAAAUUGCGUCGAAACUCAUCGCCGCGAUCAUCCCGCACAUUUCUGCCAUUCGUACGAACGCUAACUAAUCUGAUUAAUAUCCGAUUCGAACGAUGGAUAAUGAAAACGGUAGAUACGCCAUGACACCUACAUCCACAGGUGGCCAAUUAAUUUACAAGCGCACACACUUUACGUGACAUCGACAUAUCCCGAGCAUGAAGUCACGUCUCCCUUUGAUCUACGAACAGGUACGAGAACAUGAUCGACCCUUUGUGCGUAUGGCGGUCGCCGAUACGUCGCGAUAUGCUACGUUUUCGUGGAAAUUUCGGUUUCGCAUCGAUCGAAAGUAGAGAGCGUUGCCGCGCAGUGCUAUUGUUCGCCGUGACGUUCGACCGUCGCCGGGCGCAAAGUUUCGUUUACUUUACUAUAGUUCUCCGUUUAAUAAUCGUAAUGGAAACAGGUGCCGGGACCACGUGGCGAAAGCGCUCCCGCAGCUUUCCAUGAGAUUCACAGCUCGCGCAUCGCAUCGUGCAAGUGUAAAUAUCAUUGCAUCGCCGCUGGCACUCGUUCUUGAUUAAUCAAUAAAGCGCUUCGCGGUGCUCGAAAUUACGAGCAGCGACGAAUCAGUCGUAAAUCCGAUGACGCGGCGUGGCCCUCGCACGAACAGCCGUUUUCAUGAAAUUUAAAACGGGGGAUUACAAACGGAGAUAUUUUUUACGAGAACGCGCGUUUUAUUGGAAUAUUUUUGCGCUUGAUUGUGCCGCGCCGCUUUUUGUCGCAUACCGAUAGUCAGUUUUACCGUUCAAAUAAUUUCUACGCAAACCUAUUGUAAUUCUCUUGUAGAAUUUACUCAUAUUUUAGGAUAAAUCUGCUACAUCUUACGAAUAUCGUAAUCUUGUAUCACGUUUUUGAUACCAUAUGUAUGUCUACAUGUAAUUUAUUUUUUUUUUCUUAAAUUGAUCUAUUAUUUUGGACUUUCAAAUACUCUGUUUUUUCUCUUUCGAAAUUAUCUCAGUCGACUUAAGCCAUCGUUGACCAUAGAUCAGUGAGAAUAGAACUGAAACUGCAUCCUUGAAACUGGACAAGACAAUAAUUUCUUCAUGUCCUCUAGGGAACGAAGGAAAGGGAAAGAAAGUUUCUCCGUUGAAUAAAAAGUUAUAAGGGCCGCGGAAAGAAACUUAUCUCUGAGAAUAUGUCGUAAAUUCUUUUCUAUUAGCGGAUAGUUUGACAUUAAUUUGCGCGACAACAUUACAAUUUUAAUUCUCUGAAAGCAACAUCCGCAUCAAAUGAGACAAUUUUAAUUAACAUUUAUCACGACACAUUUUAUGACUGUAGCAAUUUAAUGGCAGGUGACCUGAAAGCGAAAGUGGGAAUUAAAGAACAAGACCGAAUUUUAGGAAAAUAUAAUGAUAACAAUAUAAAUGAGAACGGCGAAAAAUUUCUAGAAUUCUAACAUCGGUAACCAACAUUGGCUCAGAAUAAUAAAUAUGUUUUUCUCACAUAAAGACAUCC